AAGAAGAAAGUAAAUACUCACAAGCCAGAACAAGAGUGAAAAGAUAUAAUGUGGUGCACAAGAUCUGGAGUUUUAAUCUCUUAAAGAAGAUGUAUGCUGAUGGAGCUUUAGAUAUGUUAUUUUACUGGUAUUGUUUUGCCAUAUAUGAACUUCUGAAACACCUGUUUCCUAAUAAAUGGAUUAUUUAUUAAUCUCUAAGAAUACUUCCAAUGGGAAUGAAUUAAGAUGCAUGGAUGACUAAAGGACUAAGUUUCAGGGCUAUUAAUUCUGCUACUCAUAGUGCUGAGACUGCAUUUGGCAUCAGCCUGGAGUUGGCUGCUACCAUUCUGUGGCUAACUAAGUAAGAGGUAUCAGAGAGAGAGAUUAUACUGGAAAAAUAGGUAAAAACAAUGACCAAAUACUUACAUAGCCUGAUGUUUAGAUGACAGAAGAAUGAGGAUGACACAAAGAACUGAAUUUAAGGGCAGGAUUGAAAUCAAAUAUCUUUUGUCUUCAUUUUAGCAUCAAAUGUGACAUGUGAUAUUUGGAUGCAUAAUAAACUUUUAAAAAUAUACUUAUUUAAUAUCCUGGAGAAAAUAUUUCAGUAGAAGAGAAAGUUUAUAAUAGCUUCAUUUUUGACAUUAAUAAACUGAUGUUUAGGAAAUUAUAGUAGUUUUAAAUUAAGAUAAAUGAUUUCAUAGCACAUAUACUAUACAAAUAAUUACAGUGAAUGAUUGAAAAUAUAUCUAUAUAUACUUUACACACACCAAUCACUUCAGUUUAAAUUAUAAUUAAUUUAAAUAAUAGAGUGAUUUUUAACAGUUCAAAUUUGAGAAGACUGUUUUCAGAUAGGAAUAUAUAAGAAUAAAAUGUAUUUGGAGAAUGUUAAAAUUAAUCAUAUCAUGAAUAUUUACUAUAGAUAGCAACAUCCAUUUUUUCAUCUAAACUUUUGAAAGUAUGUAUUUAUAGAAUCCUAAAUUAAAAGCAAAGCUUUGAAUUUGAGUCACUAUACUUAUAAGAAUCAAAAAAAAAAAUUUAGCCAAAAUUUCCGGUCUGUUCUCUAACAAUCAUUCAAACCAACUCAUUGAUACCUUUGUUUUUAUUUUAGUGUCAAUCUUACUGGAUUAAUGGGAACCAUGUUAAAAUACUGGUGUUUCUGGGUAUUUAUUUAUAUUUUUUUAUUUUGUUGUCUAAAUUUGUUAGAUGGAAGUAGUGAGGAUCAAAUUAUUCCAGAUCCCAGCUAUGCACAAAAAAGUGUUCUGUGUUGAGAGCAAUUAAAAAGAACUGCUCUUUCCCUGUACUGUCAUCCCACACAUUGAUGAGCCUUUAUAAUAAAAGAAUAAAACUCCUUACACAUAAUUAGCCAGUACAAACUGAUGAACGAAUUAAAUAAAAUGUGUUUUGCUUAAAGACAUGACCAUCAAUCUGCAGUCCACUCCAUCACUAAUUAUUUGUAAAUGUAAUGAAUUAGUCAGAUCAUCCCAUCCUCCCACACUAUUCUUAAGGGGUAAAGAUGAGGAUCUCAGACUCAUAUGGAUCUUUUAAAAUAUAGUUACUGAGCUUGAUUAGUUCAGUUACAAAAAGAAUGCAAAGAAUAAAAGGGCUUAUAGGGCUUCAGUGGAAUUUACUAAAAUUCCUAAACUUUUAAAGGAAAUGUCUUCUCUAGUGACUUUCUAGAAAAGUUUUAAUGUCUAGACAAAGUUCAAUAAUUUAAUGAACAGGAGUUCAAUAACUUAUUAUUGAUUGAAGUUGGAUUUGGAAGAGAUGACUUUUAAAAUGGAGUAUUAUAACCAUUGGUCAGUUGGGAGUAAUGCCUACUAUAUUCUGAGCCCUCCCAAUCCAACCUAAGGAAAAUCCUGCUCUAACUAGAGAGCCAGCCAAAGCUGUUAAGUGUGGUAGAUACCGUUCUUUUGAUAUGGUUUUAAAUAACUAGUCAUGCUAUGUAAUGAAAAAUAUGUACCUCUAUUCUUUUUCUCUCCAUCUUUCUAUAUAGAACAUAUAUUUCUAUGCAUUGAUUUCAUAACAUACAUGUAUGUGUAUCUCUAUAUCUAUAGAUUUCUGUAUCUACUAUAUCUCUUACUUAUCUUUAUAUCUAUCUAGUAGAGGUUUAUACUAUUUUUAUAAGAAAUGAUAUGUCACAAGCCACCCCAAAACUAGCUGCUUAAGAAACAUUUAUUGUUAUGGACAAUAAAUAUUGGCUGGCUAUUGACAGUUUCCCGUAACUAGGAGUUCCACUGAUCUCGAGUAGGCUUGCUACUAGGGUGGGAUGUGAUUUGGUUUUGUAUGUCUUUUGCCCACCGUUUUGGUCAAAUAGGCUAGCUUUGACAUUUUUCCCUAUAGAAACAUCACAAGCAUAAGAGAGAAAGUGGUAAAAGGUGAGGCCAUUUCUCUUAUUCUAUUGGCCAAAUUAGGUUACAGGAAGAGAAAAUUAUUUCAUCAGUUAUUGUGUGAUACCGUGAGGUCAAAAGGUGGUAACUUUAAGUGGAUGGAGAAUUGGUAGGUAAUUCAGUCAGAUUGAUUUCAAAUAACUGAUUCCCAGUUGCUCUGAUAAAUAGACAUAAAAAUUCCAGUUAUUUUUAAUCCUUUGCUUCCUCAGUUCUCUUAGAGUUUAUUAUAUCAGUCUGUGUUUAAUUAUAAUUUCCUCAAAAUUCAUAAAUGAGAUUAAAAAUUAAUUCUCUUUUUUUUAAGAUUGAGAAAGGAAAUGUACCUGCUUGGGAGAAAGUGACUCUGACAUUUUAAUAUUCACAAUAAUUAUUGUUAAUAGUGAAUGGCAAGACUAGAAAGCCUACAAUUGUGUUAUCUUUUUUAAUUCAUCAAAUGUAGAUAUUAUUACUCCAUUGCCCAAAAUUCUCCUAUUGGGAAAUAAGUCUCAAAGAAGUGGUUAAACAAUGUUGACUAGGUUACAUAGUUAAGAACCAUAAGACUUGUUUCAAAACCCAGCAGUCAUUGACAUCAAAGUGCACGCUUUAAUUGCCAGCAGGCACUUGCUCCCAUAAAGAAACAGACAUCAUCAGAUGCAUACCUUCAGUGAACUUUAAUAUAUAACACGUGGGUUUGGAGUAACCCCACCUAUAUUCAAACUCAGCUCAAAUUAUUAAUAACAAUCAAAACUUUGUAAAAUUCCUUAAAAUACCAGGAUUUCCUUGGGUGCUAAUAAAAAUAACAAUAAUAUCUAUACUUUAAGAAUUCUUUAGAACUUAUUAGAUACUGUAAAAUGUUUACAGAGUUCAUACACAUAGUAAGACAAAGUGAACUAAUUACUAUUAUUAUGGUUUUUAGCAUUAUCCUAGAUUGCAGAAGCAUGUUUCAAAAUUGUCUAAGCAACUUGAUGAGAAAAAACUAGUAAAAUUGACUGUUGUGUGAUAAUUAUUUACUCUUUUCUCUCCUUUUUUCUUUUUUAAUUUUCCAAACUCCUACUUCAUGAAAAUACUCUAAAGUUAUAGAUUCUGCAUCAAAUGCUCUACCAUUGAACUAUACCCUUGGGUUAUAAUUUCUGAGUAAUCUUCUUCUUGCCAGUGUCUAUGAUAAGACCAAGUUCCCCUAGGCUUUUUAACACAGAUUCUAGGAGAAGAAAACAUGCAUAUCUGGCACUAAAGUUGGGAGGAAAAAGUGACUUCAGAACUGGGGGGUUCAAAAAAAGGUGUAACGAGGUAAAGAGCUAGCCUACAGAGACCAGAGAAAGAAAGAUAAACAGGGAGCAUGGUGAAGACUUUGGAUACUGGGAUCUAGUCUCUUAUUGUGCCCUGUACUUCCAUUUUUUCUAUGUUUAAAAAAAUGAGAUAAAUUUAUCUUUACUAAAGAUAGAGUUGAAUUUCAAUUCCUUGAAGACAACCAGUUCUAACUGAUGUAUAGAUCAUUGCCUGUAUAUAGAGCCCAAGGAAAUUUGUACAUUAAAAAUGUGGGAAUAGGAGUUCCCAUUGUGGCUCAGUAAAAACGAAUCUGACUAGUAUCCACAAGGAUGCAGGUUCAAUCCUUGGCCUCCCUCAGUGGGUUAAAGAUCUGUCAUUGCCAUGAGUGGUGCAGGUUGCAGAUGUGGCUCAGAUCCGGCAUUGCUGUGGCUGUGGCCUAGGCCAGAGGCUACAACUCCAAUUCAGUCCCUAACCUGGGAACCUCCAUAUGC
RNAcentral lists this long non-coding RNA (4099 nucleotides) under Sus scrofa (pig). Its description in RNAcentral is "lncRNA (ENSSSCG00000057217.1)". The record is from RNAcentral. Lineage: Eukaryota; Metazoa; Chordata; Mammalia; Artiodactyla; Suidae.